AAAAAAAAAACGUCAAAAAUUUUCAUCGAAAAAACGUGUUUUUCUUUAAACAAAUUUUAUCUAAUUAGAAUCAAUAAUUUCUCAAUCAAUAUUAAUAAGAACUACAUGUGCAUGGAUUGCCAGUUGGAUUGAUGUUUGUUUUAAGAAGAAAUUUCUCUCAAGGAAGAUAUCCACUCGAGAAAGGUUAUUGCAGCUUGCAGCAACAUCAUGUUUUAUCAAGUAUUGAAACACACAAAGGAUUAAAUCUUCAUUACAAUAUCAUUCAUAACUCCAUUUAAAUCAAUGGAAACUAAAUAUGGAUCGUUUCAUGGAGUAACAACAUACUUUGGAGUUUGGACCCAAAAUACAAUACACGUUAAUAUCGAACUUAUAAGGUGUUAAGCUGCAAUUACAAUAAAAGUGCUUGCUAUGGAAUCACCGGUGCUGAUCAUUAAUGUCAACUGUUACUUAAAAUCCAGAUGAACCAACCUUUACUUCCUAUUCAAAUAAGUUUAGAAGAAACCUAUAUAAGCAAUAAAACCAGACCAAGAAUGCUUGAUUACAAACGAUGAACUCAUUUCAUUUGCAAGUUAUGCCAUGACAUAAAUGCAUUAAAUUAGGAAGAUUUGUAUUAGAUGAAUUACCCAGAUAACAAUUAAAACAACUUCUGUUGAUAAGAACAUUUGAUUGGUGGAAUCCAGAUUCUGUGAAUGUACAUGUAAUUGAUUGACAAGGACACAUUUGACAAGGUGGUGAGAAACGUGUAGAUCUGGCCUGCUUACAGUGGCUAUUGGAUUGGACAGAACCAAAGUGAGAGUGAACGUGUGAAUUUAUGGAGAACAUUAAAAACUAUUUUACUAAAAGUCAUAACGCAACUUAUUUUGUAUGAGUUACAUACAAAUGUCAAGCCGUGAGUACAUUAUGUAAAAACUAAAACAAUGUACUGUAAUCACAACAGUAACUGUAAUCUUUUAAAAUCCAAUAGUUUUAAUGCUUAUUGAUUUUCUUAAACAAAAUAUUUCAUGUUAUAUUUCAUCAAUAAAGUUUCAUUUGAUACUUCAA
Molecule: long non-coding RNA, 1041 nt
Organism: Ostrinia nubilalis (European corn borer)
Lineage: Eukaryota; Metazoa; Arthropoda; Insecta; Lepidoptera; Crambidae
Exons: 4
Source: RefSeq, a predicted model, not a curated record